Trachemys scripta elegans is the source of this 641-nucleotide long non-coding RNA. RefSeq lists it as uncharacterized. The transcript is spliced from 3 exons. Lineage: Eukaryota; Metazoa; Chordata; Testudines; Emydidae. The record is from RefSeq and is a predicted model, not a curated record.
AUCUGUCACCUCUAACCACAAGAAAAUGUUUCCUUUAUUCUAUUCCUUCGCUAAUCCUCACCCUAUGUACUUGAGAUUUUCUCACCAGACUUAAUUGGGGCAUAUUAAUGAGAGCCAUCCCUCUUAUUGCAGCCAUUCUUUCUAAUUUUUUGCAUGGGUGUGUUUACGGCUGUUAAGUCAUCUUGAUAUUAUAUUAUAGGUACGAUCUGGAAAAAUACAAAGUGCACUGACCUAGCCCUCAGCACAUUCUUUUUGGAGUGCAACCUGCCUCAAUUAAAUGAUGAAAACAUCAGCAGAGCAACGGAAAGAUUCUCUACAUUACAUUCAUGUUAAGAAGAUACUCCUCUCCCUUGAUAGGACACAGAGGUUUUGCUGCUUCUGGAGUUACAUUUUAGUCUCUUUUGAACAAUGUUGCUGUGAAAGGAUAUGACUUUGUGACUAUCAAAAAUCACGUUUGUUGCCCAUUAAGGGCCGAAUCCAACACCCAUGGAAGUUAAUGGAGAGUCUCCCAUUUCAGUGGGAGCUGGAUCAUGCCUGAAGUCCAUACUGUAGUUUUCACUAGACAUGGGAAACACCCAAAGAAGGCACUAUGGUGUUUUGGGCCAAUGAAUCCCAAGAUAUGGCCCUGAUCUUGCUAACAG